AGGUCAAGCGACAAAGAGCGCAGGGUGGAUGCCUUGGCACUAAGAGCCGAUGAAAGACGUGAUAAGCUGCGAAAAGCUUCGGGGAGGAGCAAAUAUCCAUAGAUCCGGAGAUAUCUGAAUGGGGAAACCCGGCUGGACAGACUCCAGUCAUCCAUACGCCAAUCCAUAACGUAUGGAAGGGAACCCGGGGAACUGAAACAUCUAAGUACCCGGAGGAAAAGAAAGAAAACUCGAUUUCCAAAGUAGCGGCGAGCGAAAUGGAAAGAGCCUAAACCAGGAUGCGUGCAUCCUGGGGUUACGGACUGCAGAAAGUGACUUUAAGGUUAAUGGAACGGCUUUGGGAAAGCCGGCCAGAGAGGGUGAAAGCCCCGUACAUGAAAGCCGAGAAGAGCGAGCAGGAUCCAAAGUACCACGAGACACGAGAAACCUUGUGGGAAGUCGGGGGGACCACCCCCCAAGGCUAAAUACUCCUUAGUGACCGAUAGCGCAUAGUACUGUGAAGGAAAGGUGAAAAGAACCCCGGGAGGGGAGUGAAAGAGAACCUGAAACCCUGUGUUUACAAGCUGUGGAACACCCAUAAGAGGUGAACCGCGUACUUUUUGUAGAACGGUCCGGCGAGUUACGCUGGCUGGCAAGGUUAAGCACCAAAGGUGCGGAGCCGAAGGGAAACCAAGUCUUAACAGGGCCAGAGUCAGUCAGAGUAGACCCGAAACCGGGUGAUCUAUCCAUGUCCAGGUUGAAGCUGCCGUAAGAGGUAGUGGAGGACCGAACGCACAUCCGUUGAAAAGGGUGGCGAUGAGGUGUGGAUAGGGGAGAAAUUCCAAUCGAACCCGGAGAUAGCUGGUUCUCCUCGAAAUAGCUUUAGGGCUAGCCUCGAUAAAGAUUUGCGGAGGUAGAGCACUGAAUUUCCUAGGGGGCGUCAAAGCUUACCGAAGAAUAUCAAACUCCGAAUGCCGUGUAAUUGAUUAUCGGGAGUCAGACUGCACGAGAUAAGUUGGGCAGUCGAAAGGGAAAGAGCCCAGACCUCCAGCUAAGGUCCCAAAGUGCGUGUUAAGUGGAAAAGGAUGUGGGAUUUCGAAGACAACUAGGAUGUUGGCUCAGAAGCAGCCAUGCAUUCAAAGAGUGCGUAAUAGCUCACUAGUCGAGAGGUCCUGCGCCGAAAAUGUCCGGGGCUGAAACACGACACCGAAGCUGAGGAAUCACGCAAGUGAUUGGUAGAGGAGCAUUGUUAACGCGAAGAAGCGGUACCGUAAGGAGCCGUGGAGUGUUAAGAAGAGAGAAUGCCGGAAUGAGUAGCGAGAAAAAGGUGAGAAUCCUUUUGGCCGAAUAUCUAAGGUUUCCAGAGUAAAGCUGAUCUGCUCUGGGUAAGUCGGGGCCUAAGGCGAGGGCGAAAGCCGUAGCCGAUGGACAACAGGUUGAGAUUCCUGUACUGCAAUAUAACAGAACUGUGGGGACACGGAAGGAAAGUGGGAGCCGGAAACGGAAAAUCCGGUGCAAGCGAGGUAGGAGUUCAGUAGGCAAAUCCGCUGAACAAUCCGAAGGCGUGAUGCGGACCGAACUAAAGUAGGGAAGCCCAUGAGCCGGCCGUCAAGAAAAGCCGCUAUUGUUUAUAUUGUACCCGUACCGUAAACCGACACAGGUGGAUGAGGAGAGAAUCCUAAGGCCGACGGAAGAAGCAUUGUUAAGGAACUCGGCAAAAUGACCCCGUAACUUCGGGAGAAGGGGUGCCGCCGAAAGGCGGCCGCAGAGAAUAGGCUCAAGCAACUGUUUAGCAAAAACACAGGUCUAUGCAAAACCGAAAGGUGAGGUAUAUGGGCUGACGCCUGCCCGGUGCUGGAAGGUUAAGGGGAGAGGUUAGACGCAAGUCGAAGCUUUGAACUUAAGCCCCAGUAAACGGCGGCCGUAACUAUAACGGUCCUAAGGUAGCGAAAUUCCUUGUCGGGUAAGUUCCGACCCGCACGAAAGGCGUAAUGAUUUGAGCACUGUCUCGACAAUGCAUCCGGUGAAAUUGAAGUACCAGUGAAGAUGCUGGUUACCUGCGCCAGGACGGAAAGACCCCAUGGAGCUUUACUCCAGCUUGAUACUGGGAUUCGGUAUUGCAUGUACAGGAUAGGUGGGAGACGAAGAAGUGGUGACGCCAGUUGCCAUGGAGUCAAUGUUGGGAUACCACCCUUGCAGUAUUGGGUUUCUAACCAACCGCCGUGACCCGGCGGUGGGACAAUGUCAGGCGGGGAGUUUGACUGGGGCGGUCGCCUCCGAAAGGGUAUCGGAGGCGCUCAAAGG
This 2283-nucleotide ribosomal RNA is filed under the name Lactonifactor longoviformis. RNAcentral describes it as "bacterial LSU rRNA". It matches the Rfam family "Bacterial large subunit ribosomal RNA", at positions 1 to 2316 of the family's 2925-position model. Lineage: Bacteria; Bacillati; Bacillota; Clostridia; Eubacteriales; Clostridiaceae. The record is from RNAcentral.